GCUGGGUGUGGUGGCGGGCACCUGUAAUCCCAGCUACACAGGAGGCUGAGGCAGGAGAAUUGCUUGAACCUGGGAGGCAGAGGUUGCAGUGAGCCAAGAUUGCACCACUGCACUCCGGACUGGGUGACAGAGCAAGAUGCCAUCUCAGAAAAAAAAAAAAAAAAUAGCCCAGUGUCAGAAGGUGGGAGGGUUUCGGGGGAUGAUGGAGUGGUAAGUUCAUGACUGCAUGUUUCUUUUCUUGAGACAAAGUCUCGCUCCGUUGCCCAGGCUGGAGUGCGGUGGUGCAAUCUUGGCUCACUGCAACCUCCAUCUUCUGGGUUCAAGCAAUUCUCCUGCCUCAG
RNAcentral lists this small RNA (341 nucleotides) under Pongo abelii (Sumatran orangutan). RNAcentral describes it as "Metazoan signal recognition particle RNA (ENSPPYG00000036866.1)". Lineage: Eukaryota; Metazoa; Chordata; Mammalia; Primates; Hominidae. The record is from RNAcentral.